Molecule: unclassified non-coding RNA, 177 nt
Filed under: uncultured fungus
Lineage: Eukaryota; Fungi
Description: sequence contains ITS2
Source: RNAcentral
CACACCUCCUGUGAUCUUCAUUGUUGAUCAGGGCUCUGGGGCCGGCCGGUCAGACGGUCGCCCCUAAUGUGGCACGCUUGCGGACCUCCGGUCAGUGAUCAACGUAGUAAACUCGAAAGAAGCUCGUGGAGAAACUGCCGGACGGCUCAUUCGCCUGAAAUCAAACUCAUCUCUAUG